This is a non-coding RNA of Taeniopygia guttata (zebra finch), 46 nucleotides long. NCBI's taxonomy places the organism in Eukaryota, Metazoa, Chordata, Aves, Passeriformes, Estrildidae. The record is from Rfam.
UUAAAGGUUUUUCUAGAAACCAACCCAUGUAUUACAAAAACAAUAC